CUCACUUAACAUAAAACAUGGAGUCAACUAAGGCUUCCAUUUAACUAGGCUAUCAAACACAAAGCCCUCAUUCUUACAAUACUCUUCUAAUGAUAGUUCCAUCUUUAUGAACAUUCCAGAUUCUCACAUGAAACGGCUAGAUGGAGAUAAAGAGAAAGAGCUGGUCCCAAAAAAUGAUCUCUACAUACAGUGUGAAAAAAAUAAGAGAAGAAAUGGAAGCCUAGAGGCAAGAUGACAGAAGAAACUGUAGUGUUAAUCCAGAUAAGACAUUGAAGAGCUAAACCAGGAUUUUGGUAAGACAGAUGGAGAGAUGUGAAUGGAUCUGAAUGCUACCAAGAAGGUCAAAUUCAACGGUGCUUACAGGCAUACCUUGGAAACAUUGCAGAUUUAGUUCUAGAACACCACAGUAAAGCAAAUAUUGCAAGAAAAUGAAUCACAUGAAUUUUGGGUUUCCCAGCGCACAUAAAAGUUAUGUUUACACUAUACUAUAGUCUAAGUGUGUAAUAGCAUUAUGUAUU
Molecule: long non-coding RNA, 518 nt
Filed under: Homo sapiens (human)
Lineage: Eukaryota; Metazoa; Chordata; Mammalia; Primates; Hominidae
Description: HSALNT0321310
Source: RNAcentral